AGCGAACGCUGGCGGCAGGCUUAACACAUGCAAGUCGAGCGGGCCCUUCGGGGUCAGCGGCAGACGGGUGUGUAACACGUGGGAACGUACCCUUUUGUUCGGAAUAACGCUGGGACACUAGCGCUAAUACCGGACACGCCCUUUUGGGGAAAGGCUUGAUGCCGUAGGAUGGUCACGCGUCUGAUUAGCUAGUUGGUGGGGUAAUGGCCUACCACGGCGUCGAUCAGUAGCUGGUAUGAGAGACAGGUCAGCGACACUGAGACUGGGAAGCGGCCGAGACUCUUACGGGAGGCGGCAGUGGGGAAUGUUGCACAAUGGGCGCAGUGCUGAUCCAGCCAUGCCGGGUAAGCGAUGAAGGCCGUAAAGUUGUAAAGCGCUUUUGUCCGGGACGAUAAUGACGGUACCGAAAGAAUAAGCCCCGGCUAACUUCGUG
RNAcentral lists this ribosomal RNA (433 nucleotides) under uncultured bacterium. RNAcentral describes it as "partial 16S ribosomal RNA". It matches the Rfam family "Bacterial small subunit ribosomal RNA", at positions 29 to 507 of the family's 1533-position model. The record is from RNAcentral.